RNAcentral lists this ribosomal RNA (253 nucleotides) under uncultured bacterium. Its description in RNAcentral is "partial 16S ribosomal RNA". It matches the Rfam family "Bacterial small subunit ribosomal RNA", at positions 524 to 776 of the family's 1533-position model. The record is from RNAcentral.
UACGUAGGGGGCAAGCGUUGUCCGGAAUUAUUGGGCGUAAAGAGCGUGUAGGCGGUCCGGUAAGUCAGCUGUGAAAGUCAAGGGCUCAACCCUUGAAUGCCGGUUGAUACUGUCGGGCUAGAGUCCGGAAGAGGCGAGUGGAAUUCCCGGUGUAGCGGUGAAAUGCGCAGAUAUCGGGAGGAACACCAAUGGCGAAGGCAGCUCGCUGGGACGAUACAGACGCUGAGACGCGAAAGCGUGGGGAGAAAACAGG